This 253-nucleotide ribosomal RNA is filed under the name uncultured bacterium. Its description in RNAcentral is "partial 16S ribosomal RNA". It matches the Rfam family "Bacterial small subunit ribosomal RNA", at positions 524 to 776 of the family's 1533-position model. The record is from RNAcentral.
UACGGAGGGCGCAAGCGUUGUUUGGAAUCACUGGGCGUAAAGCGCGUGUAGGCGGCUUGGCAAGUCGGGUGUGAAAUCCCGAGGCUCAACCUCGGAACUGCACUCGAAACUGCUUGGCUCGAGUCCCGGAGAGGGUGGCGGAAUUCCCGGUGUAGGGGUGAAAUCCGUAGAUAUCGGGAGGAACAUCAGUGGCGAAGGCGGCCACCUGGACGGUGACUGACGCUGAGACGCGAAAGCGUGGGGAGCAAACAGG